UACGAAGGGGGCUAGCGUUGUUCGGAAUUACUGGGCGUAAAGGGCGCGUAGGCGGUGUGUCAAGUCAGGCGUGAAAGCCCCGGGCUCAACCUGGGAACCGCGCUUGAGACUGGCACGCUAGAGUUCGGGAGAGGAUGGUGGAAAUUCCCAGUGUAGAGGUGAAAUUCGUAGAUAUUGGGAAGAACACCGAUGGCGAAGGCAGCCAUCUGGACCGACACUGACGCUGAGGCGCGAAAGCGUGGGGAGCAAACAGGAUUAAGAAA
Molecule: ribosomal RNA, 263 nt
Filed under: uncultured bacterium
Lineage: Bacteria
Description: partial 16S ribosomal RNA
Rfam family: Bacterial small subunit ribosomal RNA
Source: RNAcentral